GCCUAGUUAGCUUAGUUGAUGGUGCGUCUGCCUUGUAAGCGCUAGGCCGCGGGUUCGAUUCCCGCCCGGGGCG
RNAcentral lists this transfer RNA (73 nucleotides) under Diaphorina citri (Asian citrus psyllid). It matches the Rfam family "tRNA". Rfam says of the family: Transfer RNA (tRNA) molecules are approximately 80 nucleotides in length. Their secondary structure includes four short double-helical elements and three loops (D, anti-codon, and T loops). Lineage: Eukaryota; Metazoa; Arthropoda; Insecta; Hemiptera; Psyllidae. The record is from Rfam by way of RNAcentral.